Molecule: ribosomal RNA, 840 nt
Filed under: uncultured Actinomycetales bacterium
Lineage: Bacteria; Bacillati; Actinomycetota; Actinomycetes; Actinomycetales
Description: bacterial SSU rRNA
Rfam family: Bacterial small subunit ribosomal RNA
Source: RNAcentral
ACGAACGCUGGCGGCGUGCUUAACACAUGCAAGUCGAGCGAUGAAGUUUCUUCGGAAAUGGAUUAGCGGCGAACGGGUGAGGAACACGUGAAGAAUCUGCCCUCCACUUUGGGAUAACACAGGGAAACCUGUGCUAAUACCGAAUAUUGAAACAUAAGUGGCAUCACUGAGUUUUGAAAGAAUUUCGGUGGAGGAUGACUUCGCGGUCUAUCACCUAGUUGGUGAGGUAAUGGCUCACCAAGGCAACGACGGGUAGCCGGCCUGAGAGGGCGACCGGCCACACUGGGACUGAGACACGGCCCAGACUCCUACGGGAGGCAGCAGUGGGGAAUAUUGGGCAAUGGAGGAAACUCUGACCCAGCGACGCCGCGUGCGGGAUGAAGGCCUUCGGGUUGUAAACCGCUUUCAGCAGGGAAGAAGCGAAAGUGACGGUACCUGCAGAAGAAGCACCGGCUAACUAUGUGCCAGCAGCCGCGGUAAUACAUAGGGUGCAAGCGUUGUCCGGAAUUAUUGGGCGUAAAGAGCUCGUAGGUGGUUCGUCACGUCGGAUGUGAAACUCUGGGGCUUAACUCCAGACCUGCAUUCGAUACGGGCGAGCUUGAGUAUGGUAGGGGAGUCUGGAAUUCCUGGUGUAGCGGUGGAAUGCGCAGAUAUCAGGAGGAACACCAAUGGCGAAGGCAGGACUCUGGGCCAUUACUGACACUGAGGAGCGAAAGCGUGGGGAGCGAACAGGAUUAGAUACCCUGGUAGUCCACGCCGUAAACGGUGGGCACUAGUUGUGGGGACCUUCCACGGUCUCUGCGACGCAGCUAACGCAUUAAGUGCCCCGCCUGGGGAGUA